GAGAGGGAAGGAAGGUACUAAUAUAGAAGAGAGAGGGGAGACUGAUGGGAAGGAAGGUACUAAUAUAGAAGAGAGAGGGGAGACUGACUAGAAGGAAGGUACUAAUAUAGAAGAUGGAGAGGGGAGACUGACUAGAAGGAAGGUACUAAUAUAGAAGAGAUGGGAGACUGACUAGAAGGAAGGUACUAAUAUAGAAGAGAGAGGGGGGACUGACGGGAAGGAAGGUACUAAUAUAGAAGAGAGAGGGAGACUGACUGGGAAGGAAGGUACUAAUAUAGAAGAGAGAGGGGAGACUGAUGGGAAGGAAGGUACUAAUAUAGAAGAGAGAGGGAGACUGACUAGAAGGAAGGUACUAAUAUAGAAGAUGGAGAGGGGAGACUGACUAGAAGGAAGGUACUAAUAUAGAAGAGAGAGGGGAGACUGACUAGAAGG
Long non-coding RNA from Oncorhynchus tshawytscha (Chinook salmon), 432 nucleotides. RefSeq lists it as uncharacterized. The record is from RefSeq and is a predicted model, not a curated record. The transcript is spliced from 2 exons. Lineage: Eukaryota; Metazoa; Chordata; Actinopteri; Salmoniformes; Salmonidae.